Molecule: transfer RNA, 75 nt
Filed under: Candidatus Nomurabacteria bacterium
Lineage: Bacteria; Candidatus Nomuraibacteriota
Description: tRNA-Lys
Rfam family: tRNA
About the family: Transfer RNA (tRNA) molecules are approximately 80 nucleotides in length. Their secondary structure includes four short double-helical elements and three loops (D, anti-codon, and T loops).
Source: RNAcentral
GGGUCCAUAGCUCAAUGGUAGAGCAACUGCCUUUUAAGCAGUGGGUUGGUGGUUCGAGCCCACCUGGACCCACCA